CUCGUAGGCGGCCAACUAAGUCAGACGUGAAAUCCCUCGGCUUAACCGGGGAACUGCGUCUGAUACUGGAUGGCUUGAGUUCGGGAGAGGGAUGCGGAAUUCCAGGUGUAGCGGUGAAAUGCGUAGAUAUCUGGAGGAACACCGGUGGCGAAGGCGGCAUCCUGGACCGAUACUGACGCUGAGGAGCGAAAGCCAGGGGAGCAAACG
RNAcentral lists this ribosomal RNA (207 nucleotides) under uncultured bacterium. Its description in RNAcentral is "partial 16S ribosomal RNA". It matches the Rfam family "Bacterial small subunit ribosomal RNA", at positions 568 to 774 of the family's 1533-position model. The record is from RNAcentral.